RNAcentral lists this ribosomal RNA (373 nucleotides) under uncultured Glomeromycotina. RNAcentral describes it as "LSU rRNA". Lineage: Eukaryota; Fungi; Glomeromycota. The record is from RNAcentral.
UUGAAAGGGAAACGAUUGAAGUCAGUCGUACCUGUGGGUAAUCAGCCUUUUGGGUGUGAUUAUGUGGAGUGUGAAGAGUUAAACGCCUUUAUGCCUGCAUAUUCGUGCACUUUGGGUGUAUUUACCCGUGUGGUAAGUUAACAUCAAUUUCGGUGGUCAUAAAAUGGCUGGAGGAAUGUAGCUUCGAUCUUGUAUUGAAGUGUUAUAGCCUUCGGUAGAUGUGAUGAUCGGGAUUGAGGAUUGCAACGGAUACCCUUCGGGGCUACCUGUCUGAUCUCUGAUCGUUGCUCUGGUGCCGAAAGCUUGCUUACGGUUAUCAAAGUCGAUGGUCAAUAGGUUAGAACGGGUUAAAUUCGUUAAGGAUGUUGACGUA